RNAcentral lists this ribosomal RNA (460 nucleotides) under uncultured bacterium. RNAcentral describes it as "partial 16S ribosomal RNA". It matches the Rfam family "Bacterial small subunit ribosomal RNA", at positions 338 to 795 of the family's 1533-position model. The record is from RNAcentral.
CCUACGGGUGGCAGCAGUGAGGAAUAUUGGUCAAUGGGCGCGAGCCUGAACCAGCCAAGUAGCGUGAAGGAUGACUGCCCUACGGGUUGUAAACUUCUUUUAUAAAGGAAUAAAGUGAGGCACGUGUGCCUUUUUGUAUGUACUUUAUGAAUAAGGAUCGGCUAACUCCGUGCCAGCAACCGCGGUAAUAAGGGGGAUCCGAGCGUUAUCCGGAUUUGUUUGGUUUAAAGGGAGCGUAGAUGGGUUGUUAAAUCAGUUGUGAAAGUUUCCGGCUCAACCGUAAAAUUGCAAUUGAUACUGGCAGCCUUGAGUACAGUUGAGGUAGGCGGAAUUCGUGGUGUAGCGGUGAAAUGCUUAGAUAUCACGAAGAACUCCGAUUGCGAAGGCAGCUUACUAAACUGCCACUGACAUUGAUGCUCGAAAGUGUGGGUAUCAAACAGGAUUAGAUACCCGAGUAGUC